Molecule: ribosomal RNA, 465 nt
Filed under: Vreelandella stevensii
Lineage: Bacteria; Pseudomonadati; Pseudomonadota; Gammaproteobacteria; Oceanospirillales; Halomonadaceae
Description: partial 16S ribosomal RNA
Rfam family: Bacterial small subunit ribosomal RNA
Source: RNAcentral
CCUACGGGUGGCAGCAGUGGGGAAUAUUGGACAAUGGGGGGAACCCUGAUCCAGCCAUGCCGCGUGUGUGAAGAAGGCCCUCGGGUUGUAAAGCACUUUCAGUGAGGAAGAACGCCUGGUGGUUAAUACCCAUCAGGAAAGACAUCACUCGCAGAAGAAGCACCGGCUAACUCCGUGCCAGCAGCCGCGGUAAUACGGAGGGUGCGAGCGUUAAUCGGAAUUACUGGGCGUAAAGCGCGCGUAGGUGGCUUGAUAAGCCGGUUGUGAAAGCCCCGGGCUCAACCUGGGAACGGCAUCCGGAACUGUCAAGCUAGAGUGCAGGAGAGGAAGGUAGAAUUCCCGGUGUAGCGGUGAAAUGCGUAGAGAUCGGGAGGAAUACCAGUGGCGAAGGCGGCCUUCUGGACUGACACUGACACUGAGGUGCGAAAGCGUGGGUAGCAAACAGGAUUAGAUACCCCUGUAGUC